This is a small nuclear RNA of Syngnathus typhle (broad-nosed pipefish), 190 nucleotides long. RefSeq annotates it as U2 spliceosomal RNA. NCBI's taxonomy places the organism in Eukaryota, Metazoa, Chordata, Actinopteri, Syngnathiformes, Syngnathidae. The transcript has a single exon. The record is from RefSeq and is a predicted model, not a curated record.
AUCGCUUCUUGGCCUUUUGGCUAAGACCAGGUGUAGUAUCUGUUCUUAUCAGAUUAAUAUCUGAUACGUUCCCUAUCCGGGGACCAUGUAUAUAUUGGAUUUUCGCAACAGGAAAUGGUAUAGGGGCUUGCUCCGUCCACUCUAUGCAUCGACCUGGUAUUGCAGUACCUCCAGGAGCGGUGCGCCCCCC